RNAcentral lists this ribosomal RNA (914 nucleotides) under uncultured marine archaeon. RNAcentral's name for it is "bacterial SSU rRNA". It matches the Rfam family "Archaeal small subunit ribosomal RNA", at positions 1 to 922 of the family's 1478-position model. The record is from RNAcentral.
UUCCGGUUGAUCCUGCCGGACCUGACUGCUAUCGGAUUGAUACUAAGCCAUGCGAGUCUUUGUAGUAAUACAAGGCAUACGGCUCAGUAACGCGUAGUCAACCUACCCUAUGGACAAGAAUAAUCUCGGGAAACUGAGCAUAAUUCUUGAUAGAUCAUAAUGCCUGGAAUGGUUUAUGGUUAAAAUGAUUCGUCGCCAUAGGAUGGGACUGCGGCCUAUCAGCUUGUUGGUGAGGUAAUGGCCCACCAAGGCGAUUACAGGUACGGGCUCUGAGAGGAGAAGCCCGGAGAUGGGUACUGAGACAAGGACCCAGGCCCUAUGGGGCGCAGCAGGCGAGAAAACUUUGCAAUGUGCGAAAGCACGACAAGGUUAGUCCGAGUGAUUUCUGCUAAAGAGAUCUUUUGUUAGUUAUAAAACCACUAACGAAUAAGGGGUGGGCAAGUUCUGGUGUCAGCCGCCGCGGUAAAACCAGCACCUCAAGUGGUCAGGAUGAUUAUUGGGCCUAAAGCAUCCGUAGCCGGCUCUGUUAGUUUUCGGUUAAAUCCAUGUGCUCAACACAUGGGCUGCCGAAAAUACUGCAGGGCUAGGGAGUGGGAGAGGUAGACGGUACUCAGUAGGAAGGGGUAAAAUCCUUUGAUCUAUUGAUGACCACCUGUGGCGAAGGCGGUCUACCAGAACACGUUCGACGGUGAGGGAUGAAAGCUGGGGGAGCAAACCGGAUUAGAUACCCGGGUAGUCCCAGCUGUAAACGAUGCAGACUCGAUGAUGCAUUGGCUUAUUGCCAAUGCAGUGUCGCAGGGAAGCCGUUAAGUCUGCCGCCUGGGAAGUACGUACGCAAGUAUGAAACUUAAAGGAAUUGGCGGGGGAGCACCACAAGGGGUGAAGCCUGCGGUUCAAUUGGAGUCAACGCCGGG